Molecule: ribosomal RNA, 253 nt
Filed under: uncultured bacterium
Lineage: Bacteria
Description: partial 16S ribosomal RNA
Rfam family: Bacterial small subunit ribosomal RNA
Source: RNAcentral
UACGGGGGGGGCAAGCGUUGUUCGGAAUUACUGGGCGUAAAGGGCUCGUAGGUGGCCAACUAAGUCAGACGUGAAAUCCCUCAGCUUAACUGGGGAACUGCGUCUGAUACUGGAUGGCUUGAGUUUGGGAGAGGGAUGCGGAAUUCCAGGUGUAGCGGUGAAAUGCGUAGAUAUCUGGAGGAACACCUGUGGCGAAAGCGGCGCACUGGACCAUAACUGACGCUGAGACGCGAAAGCGUGGGGAGCAAACAGG